RNAcentral lists this transfer RNA (61 nucleotides) under Ictidomys tridecemlineatus (thirteen-lined ground squirrel). RNAcentral describes it as "Spermophilus tridecemlineatus (thirteen-lined ground squirrel) tRNA". It matches the Rfam family "tRNA", at positions 6 to 65 of the family's 71-position model. From Rfam's summary of the family: Transfer RNA (tRNA) molecules are approximately 80 nucleotides in length. Their secondary structure includes four short double-helical elements and three loops (D, anti-codon, and T loops). The record is from Rfam by way of RNAcentral. Lineage: Eukaryota; Metazoa; Chordata; Mammalia; Rodentia; Sciuridae.
UAUAGCUCAGUGGCAGAGUGCUUGCCUAGCGUACAUGAGGCUCUGGGUUCAAUCCCCAGUA